CAUCGGUCCAAUCCUUAAAGUCAUCCUCAGUUCGGACUGGGGUCUGCAACCCGACCCCACGAAGCUGGAUUCGCUAGUAAUCGCGCAUCAGCCAUGGCGCGGUGAAUACGUUCCCGGGCCUUGUACACACCGCCCGUCAAGCCAUGAAAGCCGGGGGCGCCUGAAGUCCGUGACCGCGAGGGUCGGCCUAGGGUGAAACCGGUGAUUGGGGCUAAGUCGUAACAAGGUAAC
RNAcentral lists this ribosomal RNA (231 nucleotides) under uncultured bacterium. RNAcentral describes it as "partial 16S ribosomal RNA". It matches the Rfam family "Bacterial small subunit ribosomal RNA", at positions 1261 to 1500 of the family's 1533-position model. The record is from RNAcentral.